This 193-nucleotide ribosomal RNA is filed under the name Eutreptiella gymnastica. RNAcentral's name for it is "partial Eukaryotic small subunit ribosomal RNA". Lineage: Eukaryota; Euglenozoa; Euglenophyceae; Eutreptiales; Eutreptiaceae. The record is from RNAcentral.
CCGCUUGAUGCUUCCAGUUGUCAUAUGCGUCCUUUAAGGUUUCAGUGAUGCAAACCUUGCACAUUGCACCACCAGAUUGUUGAGUAACCCCUCACAAUCAGCAAUCAUCCUCAUAAUAGUAUGUGUUGCUUCGAACCCACCCAACGGAUUUGCAAACUAAGUGCUUGGCUAUUACCUAACUAUUGUACGGCAC